This 443-nucleotide ribosomal RNA is filed under the name uncultured bacterium. RNAcentral describes it as "partial 16S ribosomal RNA". It matches the Rfam family "Bacterial small subunit ribosomal RNA", at positions 338 to 795 of the family's 1533-position model. The record is from RNAcentral.
CCUACGGGCGGCAGCAGUGGGGAAUAUUGGGCAAUGGAGGCAACUCUGACCCAGCAACGCCGCGUGAAUGAUGAAGGUCUUCGGAUUGUAAAGUUCUUUUCUAAGGGAAGAAGAAAGUGACAGUACCUUAGGAAUAAGCCUCGGCUAACUAAGGGCCAGCAGCCGCGGUAAGACGUAGGAGGCAAGCGUUAUCCGGAAGUACUGGGGGUAAAGGGUGCGUAGGUGGAUUGACAAGUUAGUAGGGAAACUCCGGGGCUCAACUUCGGAACUACUACUAAAACUGUUGGACUUGAGUGCAGGAGGGGCAAUCGGAAUGCCUAGUGUAGCGGUGGAAUGCGUAGAUAUUAGGAAGAACACCGGUGGCGAAGGCAGAUUGCUAGACUGUAACUGACACUGAGGCACGAAAGCGUGGGGAGCAAACAGGAUUAGAUACCCUGGUAGUC